RNAcentral lists this ribosomal RNA (434 nucleotides) under uncultured bacterium. Its description in RNAcentral is "bacterial SSU rRNA". It matches the Rfam family "Bacterial small subunit ribosomal RNA", at positions 608 to 1042 of the family's 1533-position model. The record is from RNAcentral.
CUAAACUGAGGAAAGUCGACCGAUACUGAUCGGCUAGAGGGACGUAGAGGUAAGCGGAACUCUCGGAGUAGCGGUGAAAUGCGUAGAGACCGAGAGGUACCCCGAUGGUGAAGACAGCUUACUGGGCGUCUCCUGACGCUGAAGCGCUAAGGCCAGGGGAGCGAAGGGGAUUAGAUACCCCCGUAGUCCUGGCUUCAAACGAUGUGGGCUUGGUGUCGGCUCCCGAUAGAGAGUCGUUGCCGGAGCUAACGUGUUAAGCCCACCGCCUGGGGAUUACGUCCGCAAGGAUGAAACUCAAGGGAAUUGACGGGGGCCCACACAACCGGUGGAGCACGUGGUUUAAUUCGAUGAUAAGCGAAGAACCUUACCAGGGCUUGACCUAGCGGUGGUAGGAUCCUGAAAGGGAAACGACCUCAAGCUUUGCUUGAGGAGCC